UUCGAACUAGACCUCAAUUUGAGCAAGAUUA
This 31-nucleotide ribosomal RNA is filed under the name Steinernema minutum. Its description in RNAcentral is "partial 28S ribosomal RNA". Lineage: Eukaryota; Metazoa; Nematoda; Chromadorea; Rhabditida; Steinernematidae. The record is from RNAcentral.